GGAGGGUGCUAGCGUUGUUCGGAAUUACUGGGUGUAAAGGGUGCGUAGGCGGUCUGUGAAGUCUGGUGUGAAAGCCCUCGGCUCAACCGAGGAAGUGCGCUGGAAACCAGCAGACUGGAGUGCGGUAGGGGAUCGUGGAAUUCCUGGUGUAGCGGUGAAAUGCGUAGAUAUCAGGAAGAACACCGGUGGCGAAGGCGACGAUCUAAGCCGUUACUGACGCUAAAGCACGAAAGCGUGGGGAGCAAACAGGGAUUAGAUACCCUGGUAGUCCACGCUGUAAACGAUGGGUACUAGGUGUUGGCCCCUUUUUAGGGUCGGUGCCGCAGCUAACGCAUUAAGUACCCCACCUGGGAAGUACGGUCGCAAGGCUA
This 371-nucleotide ribosomal RNA is filed under the name uncultured organism. RNAcentral's name for it is "partial 16S ribosomal RNA". It matches the Rfam family "Bacterial small subunit ribosomal RNA", at positions 527 to 896 of the family's 1533-position model. The record is from RNAcentral.